This 253-nucleotide ribosomal RNA is filed under the name uncultured bacterium. Its description in RNAcentral is "partial 16S ribosomal RNA". It matches the Rfam family "Bacterial small subunit ribosomal RNA", at positions 524 to 776 of the family's 1533-position model. The record is from RNAcentral.
UACGAAGGGGGCUAGCGUUGCUCGGAAUUACUGGGCGUAAAGGGCGCGUAGGCGGAUGUCUAAGUUGGGGGUGAAAUCCCGGGGCUCAACCUCGGAACCGCCUUCAAUACUGGAUAUCUUGAGUUCGGGAGAGGUGAGUGGAAUGCCGAGUGUAGAGGUGAAAUUCGUAGAUAUUCGGCGGAACACCAGUGGCGAAGGCGACUCACUGGCCCGAUACUGACGCUGAGGCGCGAAAGCCAGGGGAGCGAACGGG